This 460-nucleotide ribosomal RNA is filed under the name uncultured bacterium. Its description in RNAcentral is "partial 16S ribosomal RNA". It matches the Rfam family "Bacterial small subunit ribosomal RNA", at positions 338 to 795 of the family's 1533-position model. The record is from RNAcentral.
CCUACGGGAGGCAGCAGUGAGGAAUAUUGGUCAAUGGGCGCGAGCCUGAACCAGCCAAGUCGCGUGAGGGAUGACUGCCCUACGGUUUGUAAACUUCUUUUGUAAGGGAAUACAGUGAGGCACGUGUGCCUUUUUGUAUGUACUUUAUGAAUAAAGAUCGGCUAACUCAGUGCCAGCAGCCGCGGUAAUACGGAGGGUCCGAGCGUUAUCCGGAUGUACUGGGUUUAAAGGGAGCGUAGAGGGGUUGUUAAGUCAGUUGUGAAAGCUCGGGGCUCAACCGGAAAAUUGCAAUUGAUACUGGCAGCCUUGAGUAUAGGAGAGGGAGGUGGAAUUCGUGGUGUAGCGGUGAAAUGCGUAGAUAUCACGAAGAACUCCGAUUGCGAAGGCAGCUUACUAAACCGACACUGACAUUGAUGCGCGAAAGUGUGGGUAUCAAACAGGAUUAGAUACCCCUGUAGUC